Long non-coding RNA from Maniola jurtina (meadow brown), 143 nucleotides. RefSeq lists it as uncharacterized. The transcript has 3 exons. The record is from RefSeq and is a predicted model, not a curated record. Lineage: Eukaryota; Metazoa; Arthropoda; Insecta; Lepidoptera; Nymphalidae.
UUGAACUCCUGCGCGUCACUCCUCCUGGUCCCGGCAGAAUACCAGCGCUCAGGUUUUGUUUUAAAACCUGCAGCAUUAAUGCUGAGCCGGGGCCUUUUAAUCUUGUGCCAUGUGGGUGCAAGAAUUAAUUUUAGAUUAAAAUA